This 625-nucleotide long non-coding RNA is filed under the name Heterocephalus glaber (naked mole-rat). RNAcentral describes it as "lncRNA (ENSHGLG00100041950.1)". The record is from RNAcentral. Lineage: Eukaryota; Metazoa; Chordata; Mammalia; Rodentia; Bathyergidae.
CUUGCAUAAAGUUUUCAUUGGCACUUUUGAUGUCACCAAUAUUUUCCAGCUGUGACAUCACAAUAGAAGAUAUGUAGUAUUUAGGAGAGAUCAAGGUGUUUCUGGAUCAUGGAAUACAUUUAUUUUCAAGUAGGCAAGAUGUUUCCAAGUUGGUCUCCAAAGUGGUUGUACCAAUUUACAUUUUAACUAACAAUAGACCCAGAAGAUUAUCUAAGAUGUUGUGCUGUUUUCACUUCGAAGGCUCAGAGAUGAUUAUCGUUACAAUGAACCCAGAGUCGUCUUUUCACUUUUUUCAUUAUUGAAAUUUUGGGAGAAGAGAGGCAUCAGUCCAUGGUUGGUUUGGCUCCAAGGCAGAAACAGAAUGACGGAAGGGCAUAGUGGAAGAAAGCUGCUUGCUUCAUGGGAUCCAGGAAGCAGAGGUACAAAGGUGGUGCUUGGGACAAGGACAAGAAUAUACCCUUCUAGGUCAUGUCCACAGUGACCUGCCUUCUUGGACCAGACACCAGGCUCCAACUCCAAACAUGAGACAUUUUUGAAGGACAUUUGGGAUCUAAACCACUCUUCACUCUUCCUUCACUCUAACUUCACUCUUACUAAAAUAGGUAAGAGUAGAAUAACAUUCCAC